RNAcentral lists this ribosomal RNA (575 nucleotides) under uncultured rumen bacterium. Its description in RNAcentral is "bacterial SSU rRNA". It matches the Rfam family "Bacterial small subunit ribosomal RNA", at positions 347 to 916 of the family's 1533-position model. The record is from RNAcentral.
GGCAGCAGCUAAGAAUAUUCCGCAAUGGACGAAAGUCUGACGGAGCGACGCCGCGUGGAUGAUGAAGGCCGGAAGGUUGUAAAAUCCUUUUGGGAGCGAGGAAUAAGGAGUCUGAGAGAAACGGGCUCUGGUGACGGUAGCUUCUGAAUAAGCAACGGCUAAUUACGUGCCAGCAGCCGCGGUAACACGUAAGUUGCGAGCGUUGUUCGGAAUUAUUGGGCGUAAAGGGCAUGUAGGCGGUCUUGCAAGUCUGGUGUGAAAUUCCGUGGCUCAACCACGGAACUGCGUUGGAAACUGCAUGACUGGAGUCGCUGAGGGGCAGGCAGAAUUCCUGGUGUAGGGGUGAAAUCUGUAGAUAUCAGGAAGAAUACCAAUGGCGAAGGCAGCCUGCCAGCAGAUGACUGACGCUGAGGUGCGAAGGUGCGGGGAGCAAACAGGAUUAGAUACCCUGGUAGUCCGCACAGUCAACUAUGUGCACUGGAUGUCCGGACAGAAGUCUGGGUGUCGAAGCAAACGCGAUAAGUGCACCGCCUGGGGAGUAUGCCCGCAAGGGUGAAACUCAAAGGAAUUGACGG